UUAAUUGAAGCCAAAAAGAGGCUUAUCACUGUUAAUGAUAGAACUGAGAUUUUUCUCCAAUUAAG
RNAcentral lists this transfer RNA (65 nucleotides) under Dacus bivittatus. RNAcentral describes it as "tRNA-Asn". The record is from RNAcentral. Lineage: Eukaryota; Metazoa; Arthropoda; Insecta; Diptera; Tephritidae.